Molecule: long non-coding RNA, 1516 nt
Filed under: Salmo trutta (river trout)
Lineage: Eukaryota; Metazoa; Chordata; Actinopteri; Salmoniformes; Salmonidae
Description: lncRNA (ENSSTUG00000043881.1)
Source: RNAcentral
GAAUUGUUGGGUGAAGAGUUGACUGAGAAGUUCAUACCCUCACACUUGAUUUGUCCACUAACCAACAAGAUGUUUGUUGACCCAGUGAAGAACCAGGAGGGAACCGUGUACGAGCGAAAGGCCAUUGAGAAACAUCUGAAGAGGUAAGCUGGUUAUUCAUAUUGAUAAGUCGUUAUUUAUGAUUCAUAAUUAACGUGUUACUUUUAUAAAGUAAUCCAAAAAUAUUAAGCAAAUGUCGUUAUGUGCGUUUUUUUCAUCGGCUGCUUCUGAGUUUGUUUAAACACAGGUCACAUUCAUGUAAUUCUUAAUUCUUUCCUUACUUAGAUUUAUGUGUAUUUGAGUAUAUGUUGUGAAACUGUUAGAUAUUGCUGAACUGUUGGAGCUAGAAACACAAACAUUUCGCUACACCUGCAAUAACAUCUGCUAAACACGUGUAUGUGACCAAUAACAUUUGAUUUGAUUUGUAUUAAUUGUGGGCUCAAAUAUUAGCAAAUGACUGUUAGUUUAUUUAUAAAAUAAAUGUUUCUCAUCCCUUGCAUGCAGAACUGAAAUAACACAUUGCUAGCAACUAUGUGACAGUUCGGUGUCAGUAGUUUUUGUGUCUUAUUGCAAUAGGCUUAGACAUUUAACUGAUUGACAAUUCUUCAAACAGGAAAGUCUUCACCUACUGUAAAAAUGUAAAAUGAAUUAACUAAUUCAAUGAAUUAUUUGACCACUAUUUUUUGAGAAUGGUUUACUGUCUUCCCAACUUUUACAGGACAUGGAUUGGGACUGAUCCCAAAACAAACAAGUUACUGACAUUAACUGACCUCAAGCCAUACCAAGACAUGAGAAAAAUGAAACCGAGAUACAAAAACAGAACAUUCGAGAAGACGUAAGGACAACAUCUAACAAGAUGGAUAAGAUAUUCAAUAUUCUCCAGCGGCACAGACUGGAGACCUACUACGAUAAAUUCCGCACGUUUGGUGUCAAAGAUGAGAGAGAUUUCGUUGAAGACAUAACUGGUGAAGAUCUAGUCAACAUGGGUUUUACUCAAAUAGAGAAGAAUCGCUUUGAAAAAAUGAAAGUUUUCAUUCAAAGACUCAAAGCGCCACAGCAAGCGAUGCCUGUACAAAAAUCUAUGGAGGCUUUCCAACUGCGGUACACAUACCCCCACUGUCCUGAGCUAAAAGAGAUCACAGACAUGGAUCCUGCUACAAACACCGUUGAAGAUCUGAUGCUAAGGAUCUGUCACCAAGAGGGCAUUGAGAACUCUAAAGCUGUGUGCCUCUACACCGUUGAUGGAAUGCCUUUAACUGAUGAUCCUUUCUUUAACACAUGGUCUUUGAAAGACAGGCACAUUGAAAAUGGAAGUGAGCUCUAUGCCAUGUUUACACCCAAGGAGAAUUUGAAACAAGCCCCCCAAAUGCCACUGCAAGAGAUGACUGACAUGACAGGAGAGGAUAAUGUUCGAUGCCACAUCAUGCUCAAGGUGAAUUCCUCUUUACAUUGGUCUAAUUCUGUUGGUUUGACAUGA